This 301-nucleotide ribosomal RNA is filed under the name uncultured bacterium. RNAcentral's name for it is "partial 16S ribosomal RNA". It matches the Rfam family "Bacterial small subunit ribosomal RNA", at positions 509 to 807 of the family's 1533-position model. The record is from RNAcentral.
CAGCCGCCGCGGUAAUACGUAGGGCGCAAGCGUUAUCCGGAAUUAUUGGGCGUAAAGAGCUCGUAGGCGGUUUGUCGCGUCUGCCGUGAAAGUCCGGGGCUCAACCCCGGAUCUGCGGUGGGUACGGGCAGACUAGAGUGAUGUAGGGGAGACUGGAAUUCCUGGUGUAGCGGUGAAAUGCGCAGAUAUCAGGAGGAACACCGAUGGCGAAGGCAGGUCUCUGGGCAUUAACUGACGCUGAGGAGCGAAAGCAUGGGGAGCGAACAGGAUUAGAUACCCCGGUAGUCCCUGUCUCUUAUAC